This 253-nucleotide ribosomal RNA is filed under the name uncultured bacterium. RNAcentral describes it as "partial 16S ribosomal RNA". It matches the Rfam family "Bacterial small subunit ribosomal RNA", at positions 524 to 776 of the family's 1533-position model. The record is from RNAcentral.
UACGUAGGCAGCGAGCGUUGUUCGGAAUUACUGGGCGUAAAGAGUGUGUAGGCGGUGUUCCCAGUCUGUUGUGAAAUCUCCCGGCUUAACUGGGAGGGUGCAGCGGAAACUAGAAUGCUAGAGGGUGGGAGAGGUAAGCGGAAUUCCUGGUGUAGCGGUGAAAUGCGUAGAUAUCAGGAGGAACACCGGUGGCGAAGGCGGGUCUCUGGGCCGAUACUGACGCUGAGGAGCGAAAGCGUGGGGAGCGAACAGG